Molecule: ribosomal RNA, 450 nt
Filed under: uncultured bacterium
Lineage: Bacteria
Description: partial 16S ribosomal RNA
Rfam family: Bacterial small subunit ribosomal RNA
Source: RNAcentral
CCUACGGGUGGCAGCAGUGGGGAAUUUUGGACAAUGGGGGCAACCCUGAUCCAGCCAUUCCGCGUGAGUGAAGAAGGCCUUCGGGUUGUAAAGCUCUUUCGGCAGGAACGAAAAGGCUCUCUCUAACAUAGGGAGUCAAUGACGGUACCUGAAGAAGAAGCACCGGCUAACUACGUGCCAGCAGCCGCGGUAAUACGUAGGGUGCGAGCGUUAAGCGGAAUGACUGGGGGUAGCGUUGGAGCACGCGGCUGAAAUCCCCGGGCUUAACCUGGGAACUGCGCUUGUGACUGCAAGGCUUGAGUGUGGCAGAGGGGGGUGGAAUUCCACGUGUAGCAGUGAAAUGCGUAGAGAUGUGGAGGAACACCGAUGGCGAAGGCAGCCCCCUGGGUCAACACUGACGCUCAUGCACGAAAGCGUGGGUAGCAAACAGGAUUAGAUACCCCGGUAGUC